This 253-nucleotide ribosomal RNA is filed under the name uncultured bacterium. RNAcentral's name for it is "partial 16S ribosomal RNA". It matches the Rfam family "Bacterial small subunit ribosomal RNA", at positions 524 to 776 of the family's 1533-position model. The record is from RNAcentral.
UACGUAGGGUCCGAGCGUUGUCCGGAAUUACUGGGCGUAAAGAGCUCGUAGGUGGUUUGUCGCGUUGUUCGUGAAAACUCACAGCUUAACUGUGGGCGUGCGGGCGAUACGGGCAGACUUGAGUACUGCAGGGGAGACUGGAAUUCCUGGUGUAGCGGUGAAAUGCGCAGAUAUCAGGAGGAACACCGGUGGCGAAGGCGGGUCUCUGGGCCGAUACUGACGCUGAGGAGCGAAAGCGUGGGGAGCGAACAGG